GAAGAGGUGAUGGGGUGGUAAGAGGAGCGACCGAGAUGUAAUUCUUACGGUAAGCAUUUUUUGUUUAUGAAUAGUGAAAAAGAUAUCCCAUUUUGACAAAUGUCAUAUCCCAUUCUUAUGGAGGUAUCAUAUUUAAAAGGUGUUUGAUAGUUGCUACCUGCUAUUAUAAUUGCCAUCAUUAAAACCAACUUACAGUUAAACAUGCAUAACACAUAG
Molecule: long non-coding RNA, 216 nt
Filed under: Lathyrus oleraceus (garden pea)
Lineage: Eukaryota; Viridiplantae; Streptophyta; Magnoliopsida; Fabales; Fabaceae
Description: Pisum sativum (pea) long non-coding RNA (PSAT_LNC025066)
Source: RNAcentral